This 58-nucleotide transfer RNA is filed under the name Trichonephila inaurata madagascariensis. RNAcentral's name for it is "tRNA-Cys". Lineage: Eukaryota; Metazoa; Arthropoda; Arachnida; Araneae; Nephilidae. The record is from RNAcentral.
UAUUUCAAGUGGUAGAGCAUUCGACUGCAGAUCGAGUGGUCCUCGGUUCAAACCCGGG